AGUUUGAUCCUGGCUCAGGAUGAACGCUAGCUACAGGCUUAACACAUGCAAGUCGAGGGGCAGCAUUGGAGUAGCAAUACUUCAGAUGGCGACCGGCGCACGGGUGAGUAACACGUAUCCAACCUGCCGCUUACUCGGGGAUAGCCUUUCGAAAGAAAGAUUAAUACCCGAUGGUAUAAAGAGUUCGCAUGUUCUCUUUAUUAAAGAAUUUCGGUAAGCGAUGGGGAUGCGUUCCAUUAGAUUGUUGGCGGGGUAACGGCCCACCAAGUCUACGAUGGAUAGGGGUUCUGAGAGGAAGGUCCCCCACAUUGGAACUGAGACACGGUCCAAACUCCUACGGGAGGCAGCAGUGAGGAAUAUUGGUCAAUGGACGAGAGUCUGAACCAGCCAAGUAGCGUGAAGGAUGACUGCCCUAUGGGUUGUAAACUUCUUUUAUAAGGGAAUAAAGUGAGGGACGUGUCCCUUUUUGUAUGUACCUUAUGAAUAAGGAUCGGCUAACUCCGUGCCAGCAGCCGCGGUAAUACGGAGGAUCCAAGCGUUAUCCGGAUUUAUUGGGUUUAAAGGGAGCGUAGGUUGACGUAUAAGUCAGCUGUGAAAGUUUACGGCUCAACCGUGAAAUUGCAGUUGAUACUGUAUGUCUUGAGUGUACAAGAGGUGGGCGGAAUUCGUGGUGUAGCGGUGAAAUGCUUAGAUAUCACGAAGAACUCCAAUUGCGAAGGCAGCUCACUGGGGUACAACUGACACUGAGGCUCGAAAGUGUGGGUAUCAAACAGGAUUAGAUACCCUGGUAGUCCACACAGUAAACGAUGAAUACUCGCUGUUUGCGAUAUACAGUAAGCGGCCAAGCGAAAGCAUUAAGUAUUCCACCUGGGGAGUACGCCGGCAACGGUGAAACUCAAAGGAAUUGACGGGGGCCCGCACAAGCGGAGGAACAUGUGGUUUAAUUCGAUGAUACGCGAGGAACCUUACCCGGGCUUGAAUUGCAGAGGAACAUAGUUGAAAGAUUAUGGCCGCAAGGUCUCUGUGAAGGUGCUGCAUGGUUGUCGUCAGCUCGUGCCGUGAGGUGUCGGCUUAAGUGCCAUAACGAGCGCAACCCUUAUCAUUAGUUACUAACAGGUCAUGCUGAGGACUCUAGUGAGACUGCCGUCGUAAGAUGUGAGGAAGGUGG
This 1168-nucleotide ribosomal RNA is filed under the name uncultured Bacteroides sp. RNAcentral describes it as "bacterial SSU rRNA". It matches the Rfam family "Bacterial small subunit ribosomal RNA", at positions 10 to 1176 of the family's 1533-position model. Lineage: Bacteria; Pseudomonadati; Bacteroidota; Bacteroidia; Bacteroidales; Bacteroidaceae. The record is from RNAcentral.